This 400-nucleotide ribosomal RNA is filed under the name uncultured bacterium. Its description in RNAcentral is "bacterial SSU rRNA". It matches the Rfam family "Bacterial small subunit ribosomal RNA", at positions 355 to 747 of the family's 1533-position model. The record is from RNAcentral.
UGGGGAAUUUUGGACAAUGGGCGCAAGCCUGAUCCAGCAAUGCCGCGUGCAGGAAGAAGGCCUUCGGGUUGUAAACUGCUUUUGUACGGAACGAAAAAGUCCGGGUUAAUACCCUGGGCCCAUGACGGUACCGUAAGAAUAAGCACCGGCUAACUACGUGCCAGCAGCCGCGGUAAUACGUAGGGUGCAAGCGUUAAUCGGAAUUACUGGGCGUAAAGCGUGCGCAGGCGGUUGUGUAAGACAGGCGUGAAAUCCCCGGGCUCAACCUGGGAAUGACGCUUGUGACUGCACAGCUCGAGUGCGGCAGAGGGGGAUGGAAUUCCGCGUGUAGCAGUGAAAUGCGUAGAUAUGCGGAGGAACACCAAUGGCGAAGGCAAUCCCCUGGGCCUGCACUGACGCU